CCAUGGUCUCCUCAUCUCUCGGGUUGUUUCUGCUGCUAGCAGCCGUCUCUUGUGUCCACUGUGUUGAACUGACCCAGACUGAUUCUAUGGUUUUAAGGCCUGCUCAGGUUUUGACACUGUCCUGUAAGAUCUCUGGGUAUUCAGUGACUGACAGCAGCUACUGCACUGGCUUCAUACGACAGCCUGCAAGAAAAGCUCUGGAAUGGGUUGGAAUGAUAUGUGGUGAUGGUAACACAUAUUACAGUGAUAAACUGAAAAGUAGAUUUCAAGUUACCAGAGACUCUUCCAGCAGCUCAGUGACUCUACAAGGACAGAAUAUGCAGACUGAGGACACAUCUGUGUAUUUCUGUGCCAGAUAG
Molecule: non-coding RNA, 359 nt
Organism: Rhinichthys klamathensis goyatoka
Lineage: Eukaryota; Metazoa; Chordata; Actinopteri; Cypriniformes; Leuciscidae
Source: the annotation of a RefSeq genome assembly